Molecule: ribosomal RNA, 270 nt
Filed under: Triticum aestivum (bread wheat)
Lineage: Eukaryota; Viridiplantae; Streptophyta; Magnoliopsida; Poales; Poaceae
Description: partial small subunit ribosomal RNA
Rfam family: Eukaryotic large subunit ribosomal RNA
Source: RNAcentral
UCAACGAGUCGGGUUGUUUGGGAAUGCAGCCCAAAUCGGGCGGUAGACUCCGUCCAAGGCUAAAUACAGGCGAGAGACCGAUAGCGAACAAGUACCGCGAGGGAAAGAUGAAAAGGACUUUGAAAAGAGAGUCAAAGAGUGCUUGAAAUUGCCGGGAGGGAAGCGGAUGGGGGCCGGCGAUGCGCCCCGGCCGUAUGCGGAACGGCUCUUGCUGGUCCGCCGCUCGGGUCCCUCGGGGCACUGCGCUGCAACGGCCUGCGGGCUCCCCAU